Molecule: unclassified non-coding RNA, 283 nt
Organism: Tupaia belangeri (northern tree shrew)
Lineage: Eukaryota; Metazoa; Chordata; Mammalia; Scandentia; Tupaiidae
Gene: 7SK
Rfam family: 7SK RNA
About the family: 7SK was discovered as an abundant small nuclear RNA in the mid-70s but a possible function has only recently been suggested. Two independent studies have found that 7SK RNA binds the CDK9/cyclin T complex (known as elongation factor P-TEFb).
Source: Ensembl
GGAAGUAAGGGCAAUUUGGCUGUGACAACUGUUACCCCAUUGAUCACCAGGCUAAUUCUGCUGGUCUAGCUGGCUAUAUGAGUGUCCCCUUCUCCCCUUACUGUUAUAUAUGGAUCCUCCUGAAGCUGUGCACUCAGUCAAAGAGAAUGACAUUCUCAGACAGAAUAAUAUUCUUCAGUCAAGAAUUUGCAAGUAGCUUCCCUCCUCUACUAAAUAAGCUCCAAAGUUCUAUACUUACCUUGUCAUGGGUGGCAACAAAAAUGCAUGGCAGGCACUAGUCCAU